CCAAUAGCGUAUAUUAAAGUUGUUGCAGUUAAAAAGCUCGUAGUUGAAUUUCGGGAUUGGCGCAUCGGUCGUGCCUUACGGGGUAUGAACUGGUGCAGUCAAUUUCUCACCUUCUGGAGAACCGCGAUGUCCUUAAUUGGGUGCCGCGGGGAACCAGGACCUUUACUUUGAAAAAAUUAGAGUGUUUAAAGCAGGCAUUUUUGCUUGAAUACAUUAGCAUGGAAUAAUAAAAUAGGACGGCAUGGUUCUAUUUUGUUGGUUUCUUGGACCACCGUAAUGAUUAAUAGGGAUAGUUGGGGGCAUUAGUAUUCAAUUGUCAGAGGUGAAAUUCUUGGAUUUAUUGAAGACUAACUACUGCGAAAGCAUUUGCCAAGGAUGUUUUCAUUAAUCAAGAACGAAAGUUAGGGGAUCGAAGACGAUCAGAUACCGUCGUAGUCUUAACCAUAAACUAUGCCGACUAGGAAUCAGACGAUGUUAAUUUUUUAAUGACUCGUUUGGCACCUUACG
This 507-nucleotide unclassified non-coding RNA is filed under the name uncultured Entrophospora. Its description in RNAcentral is "SSU rRNA". It matches the Rfam family "Eukaryotic small subunit ribosomal RNA", at positions 591 to 1092 of the family's 1831-position model. Lineage: Eukaryota; Fungi; Glomeromycota; Glomeromycetes; Entrophosporales; Entrophosporaceae. The record is from RNAcentral.